Molecule: small nucleolar RNA, 146 nt
Organism: Psammomys obesus (fat sand rat)
Lineage: Eukaryota; Metazoa; Chordata; Mammalia; Rodentia; Muridae
Product: small nucleolar RNA SNORA48
Exons: 1
Source: RefSeq, a predicted model, not a curated record
UGCCCCCUUGGCAAUGGGCAAAGAGACACAUUGUUGGUGAUACUGUUCUUAUAUCAGUCAGGGGCAGAGCAGAUGGCAGGCCUUUGUUCAUUCCAGCUUGAUGCCUGUCUUGGUGGUCAAAGCUGUUUUCUGCCUAGGACUCAUAA